AGUGAUUUAGGUAACACUGUUUGAUCACUUUCAUUUGAAGUCCACGUAGAAAUUUUUUCAAAAUUUUCUGUUAUAUUUGCAUUCUUUCUUUGUUUUGUAUUUUCUCAUUUUUUGUAGUAUAUUUGCAGUUACAAAAAUAAAUGCUGCCAUUUAUGGGUUUUUUUAAAUUUUAUUUUGAGCUUCACUUUUUAUAGAUUUUUAAUUUAAAAAGGAAGAAAGAAGCUUAUACUUAGAUUUGCUGGUGAAAAUUUGUUCUUUGGUGGUCUUUUGGUCAAAAUUGUUAGAUAUCGAUGUUACUAAUUAAACGACAAUUAUUUCAAUUAGUUUUUAUGUUUUGAGUAUAAAAUUACGGCAGUAAGACAUGGAAGCACCCCGAUCCCAAAGUAUCUUAUUUCUGUGAGAAAUCAGAAAUGGCUAGCAAAUUGGUAUUAUAUCCUUGCCUUGGGCAUUUAUAUAGUGGUCAAUUUUCAAAUGUCCAAAAUUGCUAUUGAAAUGGCAUCAGCAACCUUGAUGCCGGUCUCCUUAUUUUUGUCCAUUUUCACUUAUUUAUGCGUGUCUACAGUGAUCCACAUUCAGAUGCAAUGGCCAAUGACUUGAGCUACAACAGCAGAGUUGAUAAUUGGAAGUUGGUAGAGACAAACAUGGACGAAACUGGCAACUCUAACUUAGCUUAGCUUAGCUUUUGUAUGGGUUGUGGUUAUCUUGCAAACUAAC
Molecule: unclassified non-coding RNA, 714 nt
Filed under: Hevea brasiliensis (rubber tree)
Lineage: Eukaryota; Viridiplantae; Streptophyta; Magnoliopsida; Malpighiales; Euphorbiaceae
Source: RNAcentral